AAAUAGAUGCCAAUGUAAUAUGUUUUACAUCAUUUUAUUUGUGUUUGGACAAUAUAUAUAUAAUACAAAAGUUGUAUGUGUAUUAAUGGAAUGUCCCGCCUAGUUCUUUGUCAUCUAUCAUAGAAAAAACAAAAGAUAAAAAAUUUAUAAACUAAAUAUAUGAGAAAAAUAAUAAUAUAUAUAUAGUAACAGUAACAACAGUACGUAUGACAUUCCUUUUUUAAAAAAAGUACGUAUGACAUUCAAAUAAAAUCACAUGCUUUAAAAAAUCAAGAUAAUUUUUCAACUUGCACGUUAAAUUUCAUCUUAAUUAAAUUAAUAAAAAAAAAUGUGUUAAAUGUUAAUAAAUCUAUUUCAACUAACCGCAGCGACAAAUGUUACUAAGACACUUGGGAACUUCAAAAGGGGGACAAUAUUUAUUUGGACAGUUAGAAUCAGCCUCGCAAUAACGAAUUACCACUGCGAUGAGAAAAAUAUAUAA
Molecule: long non-coding RNA, 481 nt
Filed under: Trifolium pratense (red clover)
Lineage: Eukaryota; Viridiplantae; Streptophyta; Magnoliopsida; Fabales; Fabaceae
Description: long non-coding RNA (TPRA_LNC010323)
Source: RNAcentral